AAGUCGUAACAAGGUCUCCGUUGGUGAACCAGCGGAGGGAUCAUUAACACAUAUGUAUAUGUGGGCUCAGCACCAUGUAUAUAUAUAUCCACACCUAUUCUCUAUCUACCUAUACCGUGAACACAUGUGACCCACCCCUCUACUUUUCAUUUUCAUGUCAGUCGGCUCGGCUGAGAUGACUGUGAACUGUUGGAGGUUUUUGUUAUCCAUACCUUUUCCAAGCUUCAGGUGUUUUUUUAUUUUGUUAGCCAUGUCAUGGGCUAUACAGUAUAUACAAAAACCUGCUUUUUGGGCACAACUCUUAGCAACGGAUAUCUUGGUUCUC
RNAcentral lists this unclassified non-coding RNA (325 nucleotides) under fungal sp. RNAcentral describes it as "partial internal transcribed spacer region". The stretch from base 1 to 46 matches the Rfam family "Eukaryotic small subunit ribosomal RNA", at positions 1786 to 1831 of the family's 1831-position model. The record is from RNAcentral. Lineage: Eukaryota; Fungi.